AGUGAACGCUGGCGGUAGGCCUAACACAUGCAAGUCGAACGGCAGCACAGUAAGAGCUUGCUCUUACGGGUGGCGAGUGGCGGACGGGUGAGGAAUACAUCGGAAUCUACUUUUUCGUGGGGGAUAACGUAGGGAAACUUACGCUAAUACCGCAUACGACCUACGGGUGAAAGCAGGGGAUCUUCGGACCUUGCGCGAUUGAAUGAGCCGAUGUCGGAUUAGCUAGUUGGCGGGGUAAAGGCCCACCAAGGCGACGAUCCGUAGCUGGUCUGAGAGGAUGAUCAGCCGCACUGGAACUGAGACACGGUCCAGACUCCUACGGGAGGCAGCAGUGGGGAAUAUUGGACAAUGGGCGCAAGCCUGAUCCAGCCAUACCGCGUGUGUGAAGAAGGCCUUCGGGUUGUAAAGCCCUUUUGUUGGGAAAGAAAAGCAGCAGGUUAAUACCCCGCUGUUCUGACGGUACCCAAAGAAUAAGCACCGGCUAACUUCGUG
RNAcentral lists this ribosomal RNA (492 nucleotides) under uncultured bacterium. RNAcentral describes it as "partial 16S ribosomal RNA". It matches the Rfam family "Bacterial small subunit ribosomal RNA", at positions 29 to 507 of the family's 1533-position model. The record is from RNAcentral.